This 2234-nucleotide ribosomal RNA is filed under the name human gut metagenome. Its description in RNAcentral is "bacterial LSU rRNA". It matches the Rfam family "Bacterial large subunit ribosomal RNA", at positions 210 to 2452 of the family's 2925-position model. The record is from RNAcentral.
CCGCAGGAAGAGAAAACAACAGUGAUUCCCCCAGUAGUGGCGAGCGACCGGGGAAUAGCCCAAACCGUCGGCGUUUCGGCGCCGGCGGGGUAGUAGGGCCGCAAUGUCGCACAAGCACCGUUAAGCGGAACGGACUGGAACGUCCGGCCAUAGCGGGUGAAAGCCCCUUACGCGCCGUCGGUGCUGGCGUAGCGGUUCCCUGAGUAGCGCGGGGCACGAGAAACCCUGUGCGAAUCCGCCGGGACCAUCCGGCAAGGCUAAAUACUCCCUUGAGACCGAUAGUGAACAAGUACCGUGAGGGAAAGGUGGGAAGCACCCCGUCGAGGGGAGUGAAACAGACCCUGAAACCAUGCGCCUACAAGCGGUCGGAGCACGCUUAUGCGUGUGACGGCGUGCCUUUUGCAUAAUGAACCUACGAGUUGCCGUCGCCGGCGAGGUUAACCGUGAUGACGCGGGGAGCCGCAGUGAGAGCGAGCCUGAAGAGGGCGUACAGUCGGCGGUGGCAGACGCGAAACCAAGUGAUCUACACUUGGCCAGGGUGAAGUCCCGGUAACGCGGGAUGGAGGCCCGAACCGAUAAGCGUUGAAAAGCUUCCGGAUGAGCCGAGUGUAGGAGUGAAAGGCCAAUCAAACUUGGAGAUAGCUCGUACUCCCCGAAAGGCAUUUAGGUGCCGCGUGGGGUGUUCCGGGCGCGAGGUAGAGCGACCGAUAGGACGCGAGGGCUUCACCGCCUGUCAAGUCCUGACGAACUCCGAAUGCGCGUCCGCAGAAGCCCUGCAGUAAGGGGGCGGGUGCUAAGGUCCGCCCCCGAGAGGAGAAGAAUCCAGACCGCCGUCUAAGGCCCCGGAAUUCUGCCUGAGUUAGUCUAACGAAGUGUGCCCCCUGGGACAGCCAGGAUGUUGGCUUGGAAGCAGCCAUUCAUUCAAAGAGUGCGUAACAGCUCACUGGUCGAGGGGGCUCGCGUGGAUAAUAAUCGGGUAUAAGGCAGAUGCCGAAGGCGCGGGAUAUCGAAAGAACGUAUCGGUAGGGGAGCAUUCCAGGUGCGCAGAAUGCAAGGGGCGACCCAUGCUGGAGCGCCUGGAAAGGCAAAUGUAGGUAUGAGUAACGACAAGGGGGGCGCGAACCCCCCCCGCCGCAAGGCCAAGGUUUCCCGGGCGAUGCCAGUCAUCCCGGGGUAAGUCGGGCCCUAAGCCUAAGCCGAAUGGCGAUGGCGAUGGCAGACACGGUUGAGAUUCCGUGACUGCCCGUGCGGGCGAUGCGGCAACGGAGAAGUGACACCGCCGCGCGCAGACGGAACUGCGCGUUGAAGGGUGUAGGCGUCGAGGGGCGCAGUUAAGCACACGCCCCGAGCCGAACCUGAAAGUACGGCGCUCCAUUCGUGGAGGGCCGAGAGUGCGGGUAAUCCGGCUCCCAAGAAACCCCGCUAAGCUUAACCGCACGGGCACCCGUACCGCAAACGGACACACGUGGCCGGGUAGAGCAUACCAAGGCGUUGAGAGACUCAUGGUCAAGGAACUAGGCAAACCAGCCCCGUAACUUCGGGAGAAGGGGUCCUCCCCCCGUGGGAGGCGCAGCGAACAGGCCCAGGCAACUGUUUACCAAAAACACAGGGCUGUGCAAACUCGAGAGAUGAAGUAUACAGCCUGACACCUGCCCGGUGCCGGAAGGUUAAGAGGAGGCGUCACCGCAAGGGAAGCGCCGAGUUGAAGCCCCGGUAAACGGCGGCCGUAACUAUAACGGUCCUAAGGUAGCGAAAUUCCUUGUCGGGUAAGUUCCGACCUGCACGAAUGGUGUAAUGAUCCGGGCGCUGUCUCGACCAUGAUCUCAGUGAAAUUGUAGUAUCGGUGAAGAUGCCGAUUACCCGCGAUGGGACGAAAAGACCCCGUGAACCUUUACUGCAGCUUAGCGCUGACCUUGGCCAUCGGAUGUGUAGGAUAGGCCGGAGGCAAUGAAGGCGCCACGCCAGUGGUGCCGGAGCCGCCGUUGAAAUACGGCCCUUCCGCUGUCCGGGGUCUAACGCGCGAUGCGCGGACACCGCUUGGCGGGCAGUUUGACUGGGGUGGUCGCCUCCAAAAGCGUAACGGAGGCUUCCAAAGGUGCCCUCAGGCCGAUUGGCAACCGGCCUAAAUGAGUGCAAUGGCAAAAGGGCGCUUGACUGGGAGGGGGACACCCCGAGCAGGCAGGAAACUGGGGCAUAGUGAUCCGGCGGUUCCGCAUGGAAGGGCCGUCGCUCAA